This 402-nucleotide ribosomal RNA is filed under the name uncultured bacterium. RNAcentral describes it as "bacterial SSU rRNA". It matches the Rfam family "Bacterial small subunit ribosomal RNA", at positions 355 to 774 of the family's 1533-position model. The record is from RNAcentral.
UGGGGAAUAUUGGACAAUGGGCGCAAGCCUGAUCCAGCUAUGCCGCGUGAGUGAAGAAGGCCUUAGGGUUGUAAAGCUCUUUCGCCCGCGAAGAUAAUGACGGUAGCGGGAGAAGAAGCCCCGGCUAACUCCGUGCCAGCAGCCGCGGUAAUACGGAGGGGGCUAGCGUUGUUCGGAAUUACUGGGCGUAAAGCGUACGUAGGCGGAUGCGCAAGUUGGGGGUGAAAUCCCGGGGCUUAACCUCGGAAUUGCCCUCAAAACUGCACGUCUUGAGACCGAGAGAGGUAAGGGGAAUUCCUAGUGUAGAGGUGAAAUUCGUAGAUAUUAGGAAGAACACCAGUGGCGAAGGCGCCUUACUGGCUCGGUACUGACGCUGAGGUACGAAAGCGUGGGGAGCAAACA